Molecule: RNA transcript, 3736 nt
Organism: Cyprinus carpio (common carp)
Lineage: Eukaryota; Metazoa; Chordata; Actinopteri; Cypriniformes; Cyprinidae
Gene name: tripartite motif-containing protein 29-like
Exons: 10
Source: RefSeq, a predicted model, not a curated record
UAAGGGUCAAUAUCUAAGGUAAAGACUAAAGAAAAACUGCAUGUCAUUCUAGCCUAAACUAGAAUGUCCAGUUUGUCUGGUCUUCUGUGACUGUCUGUGUUGAACAGUUGAGAGGCAGUGUAAAUUUAUAAAUCUGUUUCAGAAUAAAUAUUCAUACUUUUUGCAGAAGUAAAGAUCAGAUAUGAUCACAUUUAUACUUUGAUACAGAUAAAGUUAAGGGGGACAAAAUAAUGAUUUGUUUUGUAAAACAUUUCCCUUUGUCAUAUUUGCAUAGAAGCCACUCCCUAGUACUCUCAUUCAGUACAUGCAUAACUUCAAACAUAACCUGUUUUACAGUGAAUCUUUGACUGGGUUUGAAAGCUCCAAAAUGGCACAAUUUUGUUUUGAUGCUGAAAAUCCUUUAAACUGUCCGAUCUGUCUGAAUCUGCUUACGGACCCAGUGACUACAUCUUGUGGCCACAGUUACUGUAUGGACUGCAUUGAGAGAUCCUGGGAUCAGGAGGUUUAUAGAGGAGUUUACAGCUGCCCCAAAUGCAGGACAAAAUUCAACCAAAGACCAACUCUCAGCAGAAGCACAGUGCUAGCUGAAAUUGUAGAUGGAAUGAACCAGGAGGAUCCAGCUGGCCCUGAAGAUGUGCAGUGCGAUGUUUGCAAAGGAAGAAAACUAAAAGCCAUCAAGUCUUGUCUGGUGUGUUUGGCUUCUUACUGCCAAUCUCACAUUCAGCCUCAUUAUGAGUCUGAAGCUUUUAGAAAGCACAAGCUGGUAAACGCUUCCUCAAAUCUACAGCAGCAGAUCUGCCCUCAACAUCAUAAAGCACUGGAGAUUUUCUGUCAGGAUGACCAGAAGUGUAUAUGUGUCGUUUGUUUGGGGGAUCAGCACAGUGGACAUAAAGCAGUCUCAGCUGCAGAUGAAAUGGAUAAAAAACAGGAGGAACUGAAAAUAAAACAGAAAGAUUUCAUGCAGGAAGCUAAGGACAGAGAAAAGAGGGUUCAAACGCUGAAGAAAGCUGUAGAGUCUCAUAAGGCAGCGGUGCAGCACAGUGAGAGGAUCUUUGAUGAGCUCAUCAGCUCCAUUCAGAAAAGACAAGCUGAGAUGAGAGAGAAGAUCAGUGCUCAAGAGAAGGAAGUACAAGAAGUUGAGAAUCAUAUACAGACACUGGAGCAGGAGAUCAGAACUCUGCAGAAGGAUAACGAUACAUUGGAGCCACUUUUGCAUACAGAGGAUCACAUUCAUUUCUUCCAGAAUUACCCUUCCUGUUCGGAAUUCCUUUCAUACACAAUCUUACUAAAGGAUUUUAAUAAUCUCCUGACAACUGAGAAUGUAAACAAAUCUCUCUCAGAAUUGAAAGGCCAACUGGAUAAAAUAUGUGAAGAGCACAUGGGAAGAAAGUCAGUUGGUGAUAUUUUGAAGUCAAAAAUAGUUUCCGUUUCGAGAAGAAGAGCAACUGUCAGGGAAGUUGAGGGCCAUCCAUUGUAUAUAACAACUCGGUCAUCGGAGCACCAUCAGUCAGAUAUAAGAGCUCGGCCAUCGGAGCGCCAUCAGUCGGAUAUAAGAACUCGGUCUUUGGAGCGCCAUCAAUCGGAUAUAAGACCUCGGUCAUCGGGUAAGCAUUUGCAUUUCGAACGACUGAACAGUUUUGAUUAUGAAUAUAUGCUUUGCCUUGUAAUGUGUGAGGUUUUUUUUUUGUUUGUUUGUUUUGUUUUUGUUUGUUUUUUUUUUAUUUACAUUUUGCUAUAUUGUUGCUGAAGUGUAAUCAGUGGUUAUUUGGUGGUUGCUUAUUUGUCCACAGUAAGUCAAAACAACCUACUUUGAAGAUUCUAUGAUCAUAAGAGGACAAAAGCUGUAAAAGAAAAUGUAUACAAAAGUGUAUACAUUUUUAUUCAUUUAACAGUGUGUAAGGGAAGAAAAAAACAAAACAAAAGAGAUGCAUACUAAACAUAAUUUUAGACUUUAAUUCAUGUUUGCACUCUUUACCCACUGAAACAUGCUUGUUUAACUUUUAAAAUGAAGAAAUCUCCCCUGAUUUCAGCUUUCUGUAAAAGAGGGAAAGCAGUAUGGCCCAGGACCUAUGAUCGGAUGUACGAUGAUUACUGGCACAUAUCUGAUGAUGAUGAUCUCUAUGGAUAGAUGGAGAUGUUUCCACUUAUCUCCUGAUGAUACUUUAAAGCAUCUGGAACUCAUCAGUUCCAAAGUACAGUGAAAGGUCAGAGUAUUACAGCACAAAAAAAAAAAAUAAAAAUAUUGGACAUGAUCUGCAUUCAAGUUAGGCUAAUGAACUGUACUGCUUGGUUGAAGAAUUGUGUAUGAUUAUUAAUUAUUAAUUAACAUGAUUAAAAUACCUUUAAUUGUUUAUUCAGAAUUGCUCCUGUUUUAUUAAAGCAGUUUGCGUGUUAUAGUGAACAUGUCUUGGAUAAAUCACAUUCAAUAAUAAUGAACAAAAGUAUCCAAAUGCAUAAGAAUGUGUCAGCACACACUGAGAACACAUUAGUGAACGUAUUUAGUGAUCAGAUCAAAAUAUUUUAGACAUCAUUUACUGCUUUGUUUAGUGCUGAUCAAAUAUGAUAUAAAUUAAAGAACAAUAGCACAGUGUAUUCAUCAAUUUAGACAAAGUGAUCCAUUUGGUGUGUUUUGGCAUGUUCUUCAUGGUGGGAGGAAACGAGAUGUCUAUAACACUUGUAGGUAUUUUUAGCAUCUUAAAUGGGACAGCCACUUUAUUGCAAUAACCAGAUUACUGAUCAAAUUUAAACCUGUGCUACUUGCUCCUGUGGAACACAAGAGAAGAUAUUUUAAUUAAUGUUGGACCUCACUAACUGUUUUUUUUUUUUUAUUAACAAAAAACACUGUGAAACACCUUUUGUCUUUGUGUUCCAUGGAAGAAAGAAAUGUAUACAAUAUUGGGGUGAGUUAAUUAAGACAUAUUUUACAUUUUUGGGUGAACUUUGCCUUUAUUGAUGUGAUGUCCUGCAAAACCUUGCCUUUUAGUUUUAAUUUGAAAGGUCUUUUUGUCUGAAUUUGAAUGUCAGCUAAACAUGCAUAAUAAUUUUUACAAUAUUCAAUAUUAAUAUAAGAUGUUCUUUGUGCAGAUGAAGUUAUUUGAUAUUGUUUAAAUAAUGUUCUUACAAAACACAAAAAAAACAAAUAAAAAAACUAAAUUUCAGAAAAACAAACAAACACGGGGGGUCGGUCAAACAUUUAUUUGGCCUAAUCGUACAACAUCUUAUUAACACCUGGAAAUGUUAGCAAAAUAAAGAGUCAGAAAAUGUAUGUACAGAGACUUAACAGAACAAAAAUAUAUAUUUAAUAAAAGCAGUGGUUUAAUUCCUCUUUGUCACAAACUUUGAAAUGUAUACCUGGAUCUGAUUAAAACUGUAAAACAUCAUUAAAAACAGACUAAGACUAAAACCUGUUCACUUGCCCAGAUCUUCUGACACCCUACAGUUUUUAGGGCUAAAAAAAAUUGGAAUGUAGAGCUAUUUAAACACUUUAAAAAGAGAUUUAUUUAUUUAUUUUUUUGUAGAUUUACAUUGUCCCAUAUCCAUCUCUUAAGUGGACAAUUUGUCAUUUCACUCAUCAGCCCUGAACAAUCAAGGAUCGAAUGAAGUUUAAAGAGAAAAAUGACUGAAAAGACUGUGAACAGGGAGCCAUGCUCUUCCAUCCGCUGCUCUUCCUCUGAGGCGGAAAUUCCUUCAGUCUUUCCAAUCCAUAAACAGAGCAAUUCCCGGCCCAUUUCCCCCC